This is a long non-coding RNA of Medicago truncatula (barrel medic), 3809 nucleotides long. RefSeq lists it as uncharacterized. The transcript is spliced from 4 exons. The record is from RefSeq and is a predicted model, not a curated record. Lineage: Eukaryota; Viridiplantae; Streptophyta; Magnoliopsida; Fabales; Fabaceae.
AUCAUUAACCCUAAUCUUAACCUACUUUUUCCCUCCCAAAUCUUAACAUUAACUCCUUCUAAGUGUAAUUCCUAAUCAACAUUCCACUUUCUAAUUCAAUUCCCUAUUCCCAAAGUUGUUCAAAAGUUGUAUGAAACAUGUGAUUACCGAUGCAUAUCCCUAUUCUCAAUUCAUUCUCCAAUUCGAACACACUGAUACCACUUCAUCAUCAGUUUCCUUUUCAUUUCCUCCCUCCUCUCAUCGACCGAACAUGACUCGCCGGCGACAACACCUACAUCUCCUCUUUCCUCUGUCACCACCAAAUACAACUCCGUCUUCGACCCAAUUUCACCUUCGCAUUCCGUCGAGGUUCGAAGAUUCCAGAUCCGACAACUAACGACCCAUAGAUUUCAACAUCUUUCUUUCUAAAGCUUGUUUGGUCAAGCCAUCAUUAACCCUAAUCUUAACCUACUUUUUCCCUCCCAAAUCUUAACAUUAACUCCUUCUAAGUGUAAUUCCUAAUCAACAUUCCACUUUCUAAUUCAAUUCCCUAUUCCCAAAGUUGUUCAAGAGUUGUAUUGUAUAUGAAACAUGUGAUUACCGAUGCAUAUCCCUAUUCUCAAUUCAUUCUCCAAUUCGAACACACUGAUACCACUUUAUCAUCAGUUUCCUUUUCAUUUCCUCCCUCCUCUCAUCGACCGAACAUGACUCGCCGGCGACAACACCUACAUCUCCUCUCUCCUCUGUCACCACCAAAUACAACUCCGUCUUCGACCCAAUUUCACCGUCGCAUCCCGUCGAGGUGUCGAUGAAGGUGAUGGAUAUGUGGGAAUUGAGGAGGAAUGUUUGUCGUAUAUCAUCUUUACCAAUAAUUUAUACUUUAUUUCUUCUCCUUUUUCCAUUUUUCUAUGAUCUGCAGGGAGAAUAUUUAGUGCAAAUUUGUUAUUAUACCUAACAAGUUUAUUUUGGGUCCUUUUUCUUCAUAUGAUUUUGUUUCAUAUCUUAACUGGUUAAUGUGUUACACAAUGUAUUUUUGGUAGUAACUGACUUACUAUGUAUCAUAUGCCUUUUUGCUUCAUUGUGUUAUUGCUUCUAAAAAAUCCGGUUUAUAUUUUGUGGUUUUUUUUUUAAAUUUAUUUUUUAUCUUGGUUUGGAUUGAGAUAGUUAUUAGUCUGUCCUCACCGACUAUUUGGAGAUCUUAAUCCAUGUCUAGACAUUUAGAGCAUGAUGUUUUGUCCCUCAAUAUAUUAUUAUUUUUUCUUUGGAACUUCGGUAAUUGAAUGAAGUGUUCUUUAUUUGUUUAAUCUCAUGGCAGGGAUUAGGGAAUUUUUUUAAUAGGAUGAUUGGCUUGAUCAUUAGGAUGGAUCAUUAGGAUGGAUCACUUUUACCACGCAAGGGACCAAAAUGAAACUUUUAAUAGUUAAGGGACCAAAACGAAACCAAAAAUAAGUUAAGGGACCAAAACGAAACUUUUAAUAGUUAAGGGACCAAAACGAAACCAAAAAAUAAGUUAAGGGACAAAAAGAGUAAUUAAGCCAAAAAUAAAAGCUGCAAUCAGUUCCUUAAAAUAGGUGCACAUCGAAACUGGUAAACCCGUCUGAAGAUGACAAUGUUGUUCUAAUGUUGGUUUUUCUGAAUGUUUGGGUAGUAUUAGGUGCACUAAAUAUGUUGUUUUGGGGUUUUGACAGAUUUGCCUGUUUGUUUUAAUCCCCUGCGUGGUUCCCUGUAAGCGGAGGGUUAUUGCCUUGCCUUCUACUGUUGGCAAGGUUUAGCUUUCAAUAAAUUUCGAUGCUUCAAAAAAACAAUUUUAAGGUUGUUCAAAAUCUCUAAAGAAGGGAUGCACUGUUAUAUCCGUUGGAAGCCAUUGAUUUUGGUCGAAGAAUGGCCAAUGAGAAAGAAAUAAAGACAUGUGCAGCAAAAGAAUAUAUAUUCACUCAAAACUCAUCCUCUAUAUUGAGUUGCCUAUAGGAGUUUGAACUUUUACUGAAUCAGGUGUUUUUCUUGGUUGUUUUUUUUUUUUGCAUAACUUGGAGCUGGUCCAAGGUAAUUUUCUGCAUAAUUUGGAGCGAGUUUUAGGGAUUUUAUGCUUAGUUUGGAGCAGGUUUCAGGCCUGUCGGCUGCUGUUGUGCAAUGGCAAUAGUUCUCACUUUCUCUGUUUUCUAACAUGGAAGGUUUCUUAACAUUUUCAUGCGUUUUUUUGUAGUUUAUAAUUGUUUGAUUAAGUGGCUAUUGAUUUCACAAUUGUUUAUGGUGUUGAUUUUUGUUUUGAUAAUCUGACUUAUAUCCAAUUUAUAAGUUAUCUUGAUAUAGAUCCUGAAAGCACUAUCCUUCAAAUAUAUACCAUGAUCUAUUGUUUUAUUCUAAAUUUCUAACGUACAUGCAAAGAAACAGUGUGUACAUUUGGCAAUAUUUUCACAUAGUCCCUAAAGUGACUAUAUAGUGCAAAUUGAACUAAAUCUCUUAUAUGCAUGAGUGGAUUACUUACAUGUAUUGUUAGCAGCCAACACUCGGGUGGGAUUUAGUCCCACAUCGGAUAGAUAGGUUUCUUGAGAAGAGUUUAUAAAGAGGAGGCACUCCUCACCGUACAAGCUGGUUUUGUGGGGAUGAGUUAGGCCUCGAUAUUCGUUACAUGGUAUCAGAGGAUGAGUUAGGCCUCGAUAUUCGUUACAUGUAUAUGUUUAUGUAUUGAAAGUAUCAUAUAUACGCCCUUGAACUACUAUUCUGAAAGCACUUAUUUUAUUUGUAGAACAAUUUACUGUCACUAAUUGGGUGCAUGUUCUUGCCAAAUACUCUUAUUUGUUUCUAUACGGCAGAUUUGAAGAAGCAUAUAUAUGUAUGUCUGAAUAAAAGUAGAUCAAAAUACCUGUUCUAGAUGUUAAAAAAUUUGCUCAAGUUAUGUUAGAUGAGAUUCUCUACGAUACAUAUAUACUUUCAACUUAUUGAUUUUGACAUGUUUUUUGUUAUAACUUUUUUUCUUCAUAUUUUUUUUUGUGCACUGAUAGUUAUUGUUAGGCAUACUGGAAAGUUACAUCUCCUAUUCGAUAAAUGACAAAUGUCAAUUUGACUGGGGAUAGAGCACAAUUAGUUCUGCAUUUAGUAUUGAAAAUAUUAGUUAAUUUAGGACCGGAUUCUAUAUUUUUUGGCUGAUUUCUUGAUCCGCAAACCAUGCUUCGGCUCCUCUUGGAUGCAUUAGAUAUGAUUGGGCAUGGUACUUUUGCUUUUGAUUUAUCCUGUCAUAAACUUGAAAUUGCUCGGUAUGGGUAGCGUGUUUCAGUUUUAACGGUGUUGCUGUUUCAGGAUGUUGGCAGCUAUAUAUAUCUGGAGUGGGGAGCUGCUGUAUCACCAUCAGCGGAGAUGCGGCUUGCAUAUUGUCCAUUUUAGGAUUUUUCCUGCUCACCACAUUUAUUGUGACUUGCUAUAUUUUGUGGGGGUGCCUUAUAAAGGUGCAACUCAUGCUUCUUUCUAGCAUCGGUUACCUUUGUUGAAGGUUGAUUGGUUUUGGAGUUAUAAUUCUCUUUCGUUUUCUGCAUUGUAAAGUAAGUUAUUUUCAUUCAUAUUGUUGAUGGUUUAUCAGAUACACGGACGACAAGUAGCAAUUGCAUCAGUAUUUGGAGGUGAGAGUUUGUAGUCAUUUGAGCUGAAAUUGUUUCCGUUUAGGGCAGUUGCUGUUUGCCAAAGAUAUGUUCAGGAGUUUCGUGCAGAUUAUUCAUCAGUAGCAUUUUACUCUUCAAGCAUGUCUUCAAUAGUGCAGCCAUUUCCCCCUCAAUUUUGUAUAAGUUUCCAUUAUUGUUUCUGUCGCGCCAUUUUUCGGGAUCAAGGCCAUUUGAUUA